Small nuclear RNA from Mesoplodon densirostris (Blainville's beaked whale), 102 nucleotides. The record is from RefSeq and is a predicted model, not a curated record. NCBI's taxonomy places the organism in Eukaryota, Metazoa, Chordata, Mammalia, Artiodactyla, Ziphiidae.
UUGCUUUGGCAGCAGAUGUAUUAAAAUUGGAAAAAUAAAAAGAAGAGUAGCAUAGAUGAUGUGUGAGAAUGACAUAAAAUUCAUGAAGUAGUCCAUAUUUUU